Molecule: long non-coding RNA, 702 nt
Organism: Chinchilla lanigera (long-tailed chinchilla)
Lineage: Eukaryota; Metazoa; Chordata; Mammalia; Rodentia; Chinchillidae
Exons: 3
Source: RefSeq, a predicted model, not a curated record
GUAACAUUUUGGAGGCUCGCUCGGGAAAUUCCACAGGCAGACCCCCGCUUUGAGAAGGGCCCCGGUCUCCGGACCCUCUAGCCCUUCUUGAAUGGCUUGGAGCCACAGCUGAUUUCAGCUUCCAUCAGAGAGAGGCUAGGGACUGCAGGUCUUGGCCACAAAGAACAAAGCAGAGUUCCACACCUCCGACUAGACUGUCCUUUCCCUCUGCUGGGCCGAGACCUUCUUCAAAAGCUAAGAGGCUGUUGGAACUACUACAGGACAAGGGAUAUCGAGUCUCUAAGAAAAAAGCUCAGGUCAUCAACCACCAUUGUAGUUGCCAUCCUGGAACAUGGGUGCCAUAAAAAGGAGAGAUCUUCAAACCCAUGGUAAAGCCUGCUGCCAAUAGACUUGUCGUGGAUUCUACAAUGGACUGAUUCUAUUAACAUGCUUGUGUACAAAGAGAACAUCUCUACAACUACACCCUCAAGCGCCAUUGGAUGGACUCUACUGGACCUAGCCAGGCCAUACUUGCUUCCCUGCACCUUCCUUGUGCCCAACAAGCUGUGGUGUUCAUUGUUCCUAUAUGUAAGAUGACAAACCCCCAUUUUGGAGCCCAGGCUGCCAUCGUAUGACACACUUUGUAUUUCUUAGAAAGAAAAAUAUGUCAUAGAGGGGGGAAUGUAGGGGGCAAUGAAUCUUAGCAUACUAUUUUAGAUAAAA